GACGAACGCUGGCGGCGUGCUUAACACAUGCAAGUCGAACGGGAUCCGGGCUUUCGGGUUUGGUGAGAGUGGCGAACGGGUGAGUAACACGUGAGUAACCUGCCCCCUUCUUUGGGAUAACGUCGGGAAAUCGGCGCUAAUACUGGAUAUUCUUGCUGCAUCGCAUGGUGUGGUUUGGAAAGGGUUUCUGGUGGGGGAUGGGCUCGCGGCCUAUCAGCUUGUUGGUGGGGUGAUGGCCUACCAAGGCUUUGACGGGUAGCCGGCCUGAGAGGGUGUCCGGCCACACUGGGACUGAGACACGGCCCAGACUCCUACGGGAGGCAGCAGUGGGGAAUAUUGCACAAUGGGCGCAAGCCUGAUGCAGCGACGCCGCGUGAGGGAUGACGGCCUUCGGGUUGUAAACCUCUUUCAGUAUGGAACAAGGAUCCUUCUGUUGGGGGUUUGAGGGUACGUGCAGAAGAAGCGCCGGCUAACUACGUG
Molecule: ribosomal RNA, 480 nt
Filed under: uncultured bacterium
Lineage: Bacteria
Description: partial 16S ribosomal RNA
Rfam family: Bacterial small subunit ribosomal RNA
Source: RNAcentral